Molecule: long non-coding RNA, 1218 nt
Organism: Papaver somniferum (opium poppy)
Lineage: Eukaryota; Viridiplantae; Streptophyta; Magnoliopsida; Ranunculales; Papaveraceae
Exons: 7
Source: RefSeq, a predicted model, not a curated record
UUUAUUAGAUUAAUACCAUUUCUCACUCUUCAUAUGCACCUUACAAAUUAACCCGAGAUCCCCUUCAACAAAAUUACAGACCCUAUCUUUUCUUUCAUCACCAUCAACUGUUUAACUUGAAGAACAGUUUAUUCAUUUCGCAUACUCAAAAUCAACGAAACCCUAGAAUAAAAAUCUGGGUUGUUUCUCGUUUCACAGAUCGAAACUUGCUGUUAGAAAUCAUUUAUCCUAACCUCUAUCUCAAAUUCAAAAUCCAUGUACCAGCAGAAAUCAGAAGGAAACUUUGUAACUCUAGAUCUAAUUGUUUUGCUCCUGAAAUCAUUAGGGAAGCUGUUUCAUUUUUCUAUUUUUCCCGACAACAGAACUCAUCAAAAUGGGUAGAACAUCACUUCUUAUAGUUCUUUUAGGUUGAGGGAGACGUCUGCAACUUCACAAAGAAGGGUUUAAGAACAUCAUAGAUUGGUAUUAAUUUCAUGAUUCUCAUGGUAAGAUAUAUUGCUUACAGCCUUGACACAUUCGAAAGAUGUGUGGGUUGUUUGUUGUCUAGAUCUGUUUGCAAUGAGGUUGUUUGUUGAUGAUUCCCCACGGAAGAAGGUUUUAUUUCCAACACUCUCAGGUGAGUAGAAGCUGUUGACACCACAAUCACGACAGAGGACAGGUUUCUUCUUAGUGCUGGAAUCUAGUAUGGUACCUCUUAGCAGUUAGCACUACGAGUGAAGCUUGGGUUAUCCAAGCAUGGAAAGCCAGUUGGUCUUGAGUAGAAGCUCAAGGUAGAUUUGAUAGUUAUUGGUUCGGCUGUAGACUGGAGCAUGGCUUGGUAAAGGUGAGAUGAGUCGAAGAACUUUCUGGCUCGCAUAGCAGACCUGAAAUUCCUUUACUUUGACAAUCCUAGCGAUGUCCUAGAGCUUAGAUUUUGGGCUUCUUACCGCGGACAAAUAUUAGUCUGGACUGGAAACUCUUCUUGUACGUAAAGAUUUGUUGACAUCUGGUAGUUUAAAUGAUCUUGUUGGAGGGCUGUGUUAGGUCAAGUUUAUCAAAGCUCAUGAUGUUAGAGUUGUAUUGACCACCAUAUUAUCGAUAUGGAUUGUGAUACUUUUUAGGUUAAGUUGCCUUGGUAGUUUUAUCAAAAGAAAACUCAGAUUUGGAUCAUGAGUAAUUCCAUUUUUUAUAAGUUGUAUAACAAAUUUUGUUUUUUAAUAUAAUGUUGAUUCAAAUUCU